GUAUGAUGGAGGGUAUACAGUAAGUAUGAUGGAGGGUACAUAAGGUAUGAUGGAGGGUAUACAGUAGGUAAGAUGGAGGGUAUACAGUAGGUAUGAUGGAGGGUAUACAGUAGGUAUGAUGGAGGGUAUACAGUAGGUAUGAUGGAGGGUACACAUCAGGGAUGAUGGAGGGUAUACAGUAGGUAUGAUGGAGGGUAUACCAUUGGUAUGAUGGAGGGUAUACAGUAGGUAUGAUGGAGGGCAUACAGUAGGUAUGAUGGAGGGUAUACAGUAGGUAUGAUGGAGGGUAUACAGUAGGUAUGAUGGAGGGUAUACAGUAGGUAUGGU
Long non-coding RNA from Oncorhynchus tshawytscha (Chinook salmon), 327 nucleotides. The record is from Ensembl. NCBI's taxonomy places the organism in Eukaryota, Metazoa, Chordata, Actinopteri, Salmoniformes, Salmonidae.